UAAUCCGACCUAGGCUCAUCCAUUAGCGCAAGGUCUUACGAUCCCCUGCUUUCCUCAGUAGAGCGUAUGCGGUAUUAGCCCGGCUUUCGCCGGGUUAUCCCCCACAAAUGGGCAGAUUCCUAGGCAUUACUCACCCGUCCGCCGCUGAAUUCAGGAGCAAGCUCCUGUCAUCCGCUCGACUUGCAUGUGUUAAGCCUGCCGCCAGCGUUCAAUCUGAGCCAGGAUCAAACUCU
RNAcentral lists this ribosomal RNA (233 nucleotides) under uncultured bacterium. RNAcentral's name for it is "partial 16S ribosomal RNA". The record is from RNAcentral.